Molecule: small RNA, 229 nt
Filed under: Marmota monax (woodchuck)
Lineage: Eukaryota; Metazoa; Chordata; Mammalia; Rodentia; Sciuridae
Source: RNAcentral
ACAAACAAAGAUGUUGUGUCCGCUGAAAAACUAAAAAAUAAAUAAAUAAAUAAAAAUUCUCUCUCUCUCUCUUAAAAUAAUACUAAUACAUUUUUUAAGAUAGAGAGAGAGAGAGUGAGUGAGAGAAUUUUAAUAUUUAUUUUUUUAGUUUUUGGCGGACACAACAUCUUUGUUUGUAUGUGGUGCUGAGAAUCGAACCCGGGCCGCACGCACGCCAGGCGAGCACGCU